This 253-nucleotide ribosomal RNA is filed under the name uncultured bacterium. RNAcentral's name for it is "partial 16S ribosomal RNA". It matches the Rfam family "Bacterial small subunit ribosomal RNA", at positions 524 to 776 of the family's 1533-position model. The record is from RNAcentral.
UACGUAGGUGGCAAGCGUUGUCCGGAUUUACUGGGCGUAAAGGGCGUGCAGGCGGUCUGUUAAGUUCAGGGUGAAAGCUCCCGGCUCAACUGGGAGAGGUCCUUGGAUACUGGCAGACUUGAGGGAGGUAGAGGAGAGUGGAAUUCCCGGUGUAGUGGUGAUAUGCGUAGAUAUCAGGAGGAACACCUAUUGCGAAGGCAGCUCGCUGGGACGUGACUGACGCUGAGACGCGAAAGCGUGGGGAGCAAACAGG